Molecule: non-coding RNA, 65 nt
Organism: Cordylochernes scorpioides
Lineage: Eukaryota; Metazoa; Arthropoda; Arachnida; Pseudoscorpiones; Chernetidae
Source: the annotation of a GenBank genome assembly
UGCUUCCGGCGGGAAUCGAACCCGGGCCGCCCGCGUGGCAGGCGAGCAUUCUACCACUGAACCGC